Molecule: ribosomal RNA, 444 nt
Filed under: uncultured bacterium
Lineage: Bacteria
Description: bacterial SSU rRNA
Rfam family: Bacterial small subunit ribosomal RNA
Source: RNAcentral
GUGCCGAAAGGCCCCUUUGGGGGUGCUCGAGCGGCGAACGGGUGAGUACACGUGAGUAACCUGCCUCUGGCUUUGGGAUAACCCUCGGAAACGGGGGCUAAUACCGGAUAUGACCUGCUGCUGCAUGGUGGUGGGUGUAAAGGGUUUCCGGCUGGGGAUGGGCUCGCGGCCUAUCAGCUUGUUGGUGGGGUGAUGGCCUACCAAGGCGACGACGGGUAGCCGGCCUGAGAGGGCGACCGGUCACACUGGGACUGAGACACGGCCCAGACUCCUACGGGAGGCAGCAGUGGGGAAUAUUGCACAAUGGGCGAAAGCCUGAUGCAGCGACGCCGCGUGAGGGAUGACGGCCUUCGGGUUGUAAACCUCUUUCAGCAGGGACGAAGGGUUUCUGACGGUACCUGCAGAAGAAGCGCCGGCCAACUACGUGCCAGCAGCCGCGGUAAG